GCCCAAAUAAAGCAAGAAAAAUUGUCAAUUGCAACGCGACAGCCAUACGCAGAAAGUUGAAAGCUUUCGCGGGUGUUUUUGUUUUGCUAGCUUCGGCAUUUUAUCUCUUGGCUAUUGCAAACUUUAUAAAGCAAUGGUGAGAUGAAAAGCAAGACGUUGUGCGUUGACUGGUUUACACUGCUGGAUAAUUGGUGUUUCAGCUGGAGCCGAUAACUUAGUGGAAGUGAUGCUCGUUCUCCGUCCAUUCAAAGUUGAAUCAUUAUUUGGACCUCCCAGAUAUUUAGUUUAAGCAUCCAGGGUGAAAAAAGUUUUGAAUUUACCGAAGGCUGUCCACUUUGCAUCUGUGAAGAGUAACUGGGAAAAGAAAUGAGCUAACAGGCAGAAUGUGGUUUUUUUUUUACAAAUCCGUACUAAAAACCCAGAAACAACAAACCUAAUAGACAAAUUCAAGUUGAUUUAUUUAAAUAUUUUCAUUGGCACACCUGUGUACAUUCAUUGCACCAACAUUCCAUCUCCAAAGUCAUUCUCAAUACUUCCUGGCACCGGUAUUGCAGCUUGUAAUUUGACACAGAAAAAGACCAAGCAGGCCUUGCAGAUCCGUUUCCUCCAUUUCAUAAUAACUCUAAUUUGGUGAAUAUUAACAAUGGCUGAACUAUUUUUCCCUCUCAACUCCAUUCCCUUGCCACUACUAUAUCAGGAAGAUUUUUUGUGUCCUCCUUAGUGAAGACAGAUCCAAAGUAUCUGUUCAACUCAUCUGCCAUUUCCUUGUUCCCCAUAAUAAAUUCACCUUUUUCAGUCUUCAAGGGUCCAGCUUUGGUCUUAACUAAUUUUUUCUCUUCACAUACAGUACCUAAAGAAGCUUUUACAAUCGUGCUUUAUAUUCUUGGCUAGUUUACCUUUGGACCUCAUCUUUUCUCCCCGCAUUGUCUUUUUAGUUAUCUUCGGUUGCUCUUUGAACAUUACUCUAAACAUAGGAUUGCUCCUUUCCUAACACUGUGAGCAGCUUAUGCAUUGGCAGCCAGGAGCUCCACCUUUCCCAAUUGCAAGAAUGGGACCACAACCUCUUGCAAGAGUGAACAGCCUUCAGAUCUUUAAAUUAUAUAUAUUUUAAAUUUUGGAAUAGCAGACAUUUAGUUAAAGCAUCAAGGGUGAAAGUUGUUUGAAUUUACAGAAGACUGUCCACUUUGCAACUGUGAAGAGUAACCGGGGGUAAAAAAUGGACUAACAGGUGGCAUGUAUUUUUCACUGCAGCCUUCCACCCGGAAGGAAGGAGAAAUGAACCAGCCCUAGGAACCUGAAUAGAUUGGGCCUUUGACCCACUCAUGCAGUGGGAAUAUAUGAAUGGUGUCCCGUCAUUCUGCAUUCAACAGCCCAUACGCAAGAAGAAGAGGCAUUCAACAGCUACGCAAAGGAUAUCAGAUGCAAGCAGCUGGCACAGGAGAUCAUUGUGAUGCCUCUGGAGGAGGAAGUCUAUAACCAGUUGUGUGUGCAAGGGUGGAUGAGCCUCAGGCACCAGGGGGAAGCUGAAUGUGAUCGGCCAGGCAUGAUCUCUUUUCACCUCAGCAUAUCGGAACAGGAGUCCUUACAGGAAGCGCAUGUACAACAAAUGGGGUUCAUUUUUCAGCCUCUCUUAAUGAAUGAAGCCCUCUAACAUUACAGGACUGUGUAACAUAUUCCAUUGAAGCAGAGAGCUUUGAUCCAUUGCCAGCUGCUGUAGAGGAGGCAUGUAAGUUAUUUGAGGACAAGAGCUGCUGAGGACAGCUCCCGUCAGAGCAGAGACCUCCACUGUGCCAGUGUGCCUGUCCACACAGAACAUCAGCAGCAUGAGGAUAAACCAAACUCGACAGGUAGCACACGGACAUCUGACCAGAUUGUCCUAAUGGGACUUCACGAUGUUCAUUUACUUAACCUCUCCCAUGCAGCUUAACCUCUGUCACAGCGAACAAAUCACCUUAAAUACGCAGCGUGAAAUUAAAGUCGCCCACAUUUGACAACCGUAGGAUUUGCGAUUCCAACUUGAGCCUUUGAUUGACCAGCGUCACAUAAAACGUUCAUGAUUUUGAUGGCUUGCUUCAACAUCACCUAAGAUGGAGCUCUUAAAGAUAGCGUAGUCAAAGGAUGUGGGGAGAAGGCAGGAACGGGGUACUGAUUCUGGACGAUCAGCCAUGAUCACAGUGAAUGGCGGUGCUGGCUCGAAGGGCCAGUUGGCCUACUCUUGAACCCAUUGUCUAUUGUCUAUUGAAUGCAUCAGUUCAACGAGCUUAGUUUUGAAAUACAGCGUGAAACGACCUGCAAUCGCCCGCACACUAGUUCUGUCCAACACACUAGGGACAAUUUACAAAAUCCAAUUAAUCUACAAACCUGCAUAUCUUUGGAAGGUGAGAGGAAAUCUGAGCACCCGGAGAGAACCCACGCGGUCACAGGGAGAACGUACACAUUCGGUGUAAAUAGCACCCGUAGGCAGGAUCGAACCCCAAUCUCUGGCGCUGUAAGGCAGCAACUCUACCACUGCACCUCUGUGCUGCCCAAUUGUUCACAUUUGUCGCCCAGUUAGUGGCAAACGUUUGCCUAGUAUAAGCCAAUGCGGCCGUGAAUGCCCAGCUGUUCAUCCAUCAUCAUUAUUGUUUUUUUGUAAUUAAAGAAAAACAUUGAGUACAUUUGAAUUGGAACAUCCCACGGCUUCCGAUUUUAAGAAAUGUGCUUAUUUUAUUCGACACCUACAACUAUUGCUUUGUUAUUCCUCAGAGUUAUUGGCAGAAGGUAAUGAUCAAAAACAGAAUUGUCCCAUCGUAUUGUGUGAGAAGGAACUGCAGAUGCUGAUUUGAACCAAAGACAGACACAAAAAGCUGGAGUAACUCAGCGGGACAGGCAGCAUCUCUGGAGAGAAAUAAUGGAUGACGUUUCGGGUCGAGACCCAAGAGUCGCCCAUUCCAUCUCUCCAGAGAUGCUGCCUGUUCCACUGAGCUUCUCCAGUUUUUGUCUAUCUUUGUCCCAUCGUAUUGGUCCGUUAGAAAGAACGGUGUUCUUGAUUUUUACUUAAAUAAAGACAAUUACCGUGUUUAAUCACGCCUGUAAUGUACUUUCUGUAAUUCAAUCAGUCAAAUAUAAUUGGGACAUGAGUAGAAAGAGCAAUUGAGAAUGCCAUUGUACAUUAAAAUAUCAACAUGUUUCGUUCCAAAUUUGAGCAAAUUCAUUGAUUGAGAUGAAGGCCAGGGUCGUUCAGUUAUAAUUCCCGGAAUCCACUCCUGUAAGAAUAGUGUCCAUAUUGACACGUACAUGUUUUAAUAAGCCAUCAUAUGCUACCUUAAGGAAAAUGUAAAACAUUUGUGUCAUCAUCAUACAUUACUUAAUAUAGGAUUAAUGUAUGAUAAGAUAUACUGAUAAGAUUAUUUUAGUUUUCUACUAAAUUUGAAUUCCAGUUUAAAACUUAGCACCAAGAGAAUUGACCUCCACUGCCUACGGAGGCGGAUAAUUCCACAGAUUCACAACUCUGGGUGAAAAAGUUUUUCCUCAUCUCCGUUCUAAAUGGCCUACCCCUUAUUCUUAAACUGUGGCCCCUAGUUCUGGACUCCCCCAACAUCGGGAACAUGUUUCCUGCCCCUAGCGUGUCCAAUACCUUAAUAAUCUUAUGUUUCAAUAAGACCCCCACUCAUCCAGUGUAUACAAGCCCAGUCGCUCAAUUCUUUCAGCAUAUGACAAUUCACGUGUGUGUUAGGAUUGCAAUUUAAUAAAAACAAAACUUGGCUGAGAAUGUUCGGUGUAAUUUGACCUUCUAAUGCGUUCCACCAUUGCUGAGGGUAUUUCGGACGGAUGCAAUGAAUUAAGAUAUUGAGUUUUUUUAGCAAAAUAAACGUGUUUCAAAAGUGAACUGACAAAUAAAAUGUCCACUGCAGUCAGCUGAUGAAAUGUCUUGAAUUUCGUACACGACCAAGCGUGAAUAAAGAUAUAGCGAAACACCCUGUUUUAUUAUUUUAAACUCAUAUUCAGAUGGGUUAAAUAACGCGUGUUGCACUUCCCUUCAGAACAUACUUUACGAACAGUGCAGUAUUUAAAACGUCGCUAGUACUGUAGAAGAUUGUAUUUAUAGAACCACCUAUUAAAUGUUCCAUUAAUUGAACUGCUUAUUAAUAGACAAUAGGAGCAGGAGUAGGCCAUUCGGCCCUUCGAGCCAGCACCGCCAUUCAAUGUGAUCAUGGCUGAUCAUCCCCAAUCAGUACCCCGUUCCUGCCUUCUCCCCACAUCCCCUGACUACGCUAUUUUUAAGAGCCCUAUCUAGCUCUCUCUUGAAAGCAUCCAGAGAACCAUCCUCCACCGCCCUCUGAGGCAGAGAAUUCCACACUCGCCACUCUCUGUGAGAAAUAGUCCUAGUCUCCGUUCUAAAUGGCUUACUCCUUAUUCUUAAACUGUGGCGCCUGGUUCUGGACUCCCCCAACAUCGGGAACAUGUUUCCUCCCUCUAGCGUGUCCAAACCAUUAAAGAAAAACAUGACGUAGAAAAACGCAGCACGCAAAGCAAGGCACACCGUGCCUAACAUUGGUAUAGCCAACGGUUAAAUGGUUGCUGAUUGCAUCAGGCCCCCAUAGAAUUUCGCAAACACAAAUGCAGGAAAUGAAUUGCACCCAGUCGCUGGGGGAAGCGUCUGAAUUUCUCUUAAUUAAUGCUUCCGGUUUGCUCGGUACCUCACGUUAUAUUUUAAUUACACAUUUCGAUAGUUUUGCAUUUCGAUUUUCUUUACAAAAUCAGAAACGUUGGCUUCCUUUAUCCCGAUCCAUUUUACGAAAGGUUAGGGUUUCAUUUGGCAUUUGCGGUUUUCCUCUGCCGGUCUGCAAGUGACUGGAAUUGCUGUAUUUCCGAUUUUAUGGCGAGAGGGACAUAUCCAAUGAACUCAUUUCGAAGCAGACGUAUAUCAUAAGAUCAUAAGUGAUAGGAGCAGAAUUAGGCCGUUCGGCCCAUCUAGUCUACUCUGCCAUUCAAUCAUGACUAUCUUUCCCAACCCCGUUCUCCUGCCUUCUCCACAUAAACCCUGACUCCCGUAGUAAUCAAAAAUCUAUCUAUACCUGCUUUAAAUAUAUCUAUUGACUUGACCUCCACAGUAUUCUGUGGCAAAGAGUUUCACAGGUUCACUACCCAAUUACUAAAGACAUUUCUCCUCAUCUCACUGUAACUGAUGAUCAUGUCAGUAAU
Long non-coding RNA from Leucoraja erinaceus (little skate), 5184 nucleotides. RefSeq lists it as uncharacterized. The transcript has 7 exons. The record is from RefSeq and is a predicted model, not a curated record. Lineage: Eukaryota; Metazoa; Chordata; Chondrichthyes; Rajiformes; Rajidae.